AUUGAACGCUGGCGGCAGGCCUAACACAUGCAAGUCGAACGAGAGGCGGACGGGUAAGUAAUGUCUGGGAAACUGCCUGAUGGAGGGGGAUAACUACUGGACACGGUAGCUAAUACCGCAUACCAUCAGAUGUGCCCAGAUGGGAUUAGCUUGUUGGUGGGGUAACGGCUCACCAAGGCAACGCUCCCUAGCUGGUCUGAGAGGAUGACCAGCCACACUGGCACGGGGACAAGGUCCAUACUGCGACGGGAGGCAGCAGUGGGGAAUAUUUGACAAUGGGCGGAAGCCUGAUGCAGCCAUGCCGCGUGUAUGAAGAAGGCCUUCGGGUUGUAAAGUACUUUCAGCGGAGAGGCGGUACCCGCAGAAGAAGCACCGGCUAACUCCGUGCCAGCAGCCGCGGUAAUUC
Molecule: ribosomal RNA, 406 nt
Filed under: uncultured bacterium
Lineage: Bacteria
Description: partial 16S ribosomal RNA
Rfam family: Bacterial small subunit ribosomal RNA
Source: RNAcentral